RNAcentral lists this long non-coding RNA (310 nucleotides) under Brassica napus (rape). Its description in RNAcentral is "long non-coding RNA (BNAP_LNC003612)". Lineage: Eukaryota; Viridiplantae; Streptophyta; Magnoliopsida; Brassicales; Brassicaceae. The record is from RNAcentral.
UGAUGAUGGUUUACAAUCGAUUACACUGCAGUAAAUACCAUGCAGCUUUUUUCCACUCUUAUACUAGAAAUUUGUGUAGUUUGUCCACAUGAAUGUGUCGAGAUGAAACAACAAGCAUUCAUGAGCACCAUGUAUUAGCAUGGGGUCACAUGUUCCCAAUAGAAAAAUCUAAUUUGGUGUAAGUUUUUAUAACUGACAAUUAUUUCCCCCUCAGCAAAUAUUAGAUCCCCCCCCCCCCUCUCCCCCUCAGCAAAUAUUUAGUUAUUUGAUCACAUUAUUUCAAAAAUAAUUGAAUGCUUCUAUCAAAUUU